This is a small nucleolar RNA of Archaeoglobus sulfaticallidus PM70-1, 54 nucleotides long. It matches the Rfam family "Small nucleolar RNA sR1". NCBI's taxonomy places the organism in Archaea, Methanobacteriati, Methanobacteriota, Archaeoglobi, Archaeoglobales, Archaeoglobaceae. The record is from Rfam.
GCCGAUGAUGACUGAUGGGCGAUCUGAAAUGUGAUGAAAAGGGAGAGUCUGAGG